UCAGGACGAACGCUGGCGGCGUGCUUAACACAUGCAAGUCGAGCGAUGAAGCACCUUCGGGUGUGAAUUAGCGGCGAACGGGUGAGGAACACGUGAGAAAUCUGCCUUCAACUCUGGGAUAACUCCGGGAAACCGGGGCUAAUACCGGAUAUGAGCCUUGAUCGCAUGAUCGGGGCUGGAAAGUUUUUCGGUUGAAGAUGAUCUCGCGGCCUAUCAGCUUGUUGGUGAGGUAAUGGCUCACCAAGGCGACGACGGGUAGCCGGCCUGAGAGGGCGACCGGCCACACUGGGACUGAGACACGGCCCAGACUCCUACGGGAGGCAGCAGUGGGGAAUAUUGGGCAAUGGAGGAAACUCUGACCCAGCGACGCCGCGUGAGGGAUGAAGGCCUUCGGGUUGUAAACCUCUUUCAGUAGGGAAGAAGCGAAAGUGACGGUACCUACAGAAGAAGCACCGGCUAACUAUGUG
This 467-nucleotide ribosomal RNA is filed under the name uncultured bacterium. RNAcentral's name for it is "bacterial SSU rRNA". It matches the Rfam family "Bacterial small subunit ribosomal RNA", at positions 24 to 507 of the family's 1533-position model. The record is from RNAcentral.